CGGACAUAUAAAGUUGAAACACCAGGUCUCGUGCGACCGCCCAAAUUAAACAAUGUUGAGCCUAGUUACUACCUAGAUGGCUGGCCGCUUGGGAAUACCAGGUACUGUAA
This is a non-coding RNA of Acanthosepion pharaonis, 110 nucleotides long. NCBI's taxonomy places the organism in Eukaryota, Metazoa, Mollusca, Cephalopoda, Sepiida, Sepiidae. The record is from the annotation of a GenBank genome assembly.